Molecule: ribosomal RNA, 450 nt
Filed under: uncultured bacterium
Lineage: Bacteria
Description: partial 16S ribosomal RNA
Rfam family: Bacterial small subunit ribosomal RNA
Source: RNAcentral
GUGGGGAAUCUUCCGCAAUGGACGAAAGUCUGACGGAGCAACGCCGCGUGAGUGAAGAAGGUUUUCGGAUCGUAAAGCUCUUUCGUUAGGGACGAACGUGCUCUUUGUGAAUAAUGAGGAGUAAUGACGGUACCUAAAUAAGAAGCCACGGCUAACUACGUGCCAGCAGCCGCGGUAAUACGUAGGUGGCAAGCGUUGUCCGGAAUUAUUGGGCAUAAAGCGCGCGCAGGCGGGAUAUCAAGUCUGUCUUAAAAGUGCGAGGCUCAACCUCGUGAGGGGACAGAAACUGGUAUUCUUGAGUGUCGGAGAGGAAAGUGGAAUUCCAAGUGUAGCGGUGAAAUGCGUAGAGAUUUGGAAGAACACCAGUGGCGAAGGCGACUUUCUGGACGAUGUCUGACGCUGAGGCGCGAAAGCUAGGGGAGCGAACGGGAUUAGAUACCCCGGUAGUCC